UACGAGGGGGGCAAGCGUUGUUCGGAAUUAUUGGGCGUAAAGGGCGCGUAGGCGGUGCGGUAAGUCACCUGUGAAAACUCUGGGCUCAACUCAGAGCCUGCAGGCGAAACUGCCGUGCUUGAGUGUGGGAGAGGUGCGUGGAAUUCCCGGUGUAGCGGUGAAAUGCGUAGAUAUCGGGAAGAACACCGGUGGCGAAGGCGGCGCUCUGGACCGAGACUGACGCUGAGGCGCGAAAGCGUGGGGAGCAAACAGG
This 253-nucleotide ribosomal RNA is filed under the name uncultured bacterium. RNAcentral describes it as "partial 16S ribosomal RNA". It matches the Rfam family "Bacterial small subunit ribosomal RNA", at positions 524 to 776 of the family's 1533-position model. The record is from RNAcentral.